Molecule: ribosomal RNA, 472 nt
Filed under: uncultured bacterium
Lineage: Bacteria
Description: bacterial SSU rRNA
Rfam family: Bacterial small subunit ribosomal RNA
Source: RNAcentral
UCGAGAAUCUUCCGCAAUGGGCGAAAGCCUGACGGAGCGACGCCGCGUGUAGGAUGAAGGCCCUCGGGUUGUAAACUACUGUCACGGGUUAUGAAUGUGCAUAUGUUAACAGCGUGUGUAUUGACGUAAGCCCGAAAGGAAGCACCGGCUAACUCUGUGCCAGCAGCCGCGGUAAUACAGAGGGUGCAAACGUUGUUCGGAAUUACUGGGCAUAAAGCGCGCGUAGGCGGCGACGUAAGUGUAGGGUGAAAUCCCACGGCUCACCCGUGUGAAUUGCCCCGCAUACUGCGUUGCUUGAGUGUGGUAGGGGAGAGCGGAACUCCUGGUGGAGCGGUGAAAUGCGUAGAUAUCAGGAGGAACACCGGUGGCGUAGGCGGCUCUCUGGUCCAUAACUGACGCUGAAGUGCGAAAGCUAGGGUAGCGAACGGGAUUAGAUACCCCUGUAGUCCCUGAGCGGGCUGGCAAGGCGCAU